AUGAGGACGAAGUGACUGACACCACGCUUCCAGGAAAAGCCACUAAGCUUCAGCUUAAGAAAAACCGUACCGCAAACCGACACAGGUAGGCAGGGUGAGAAUCCCAAGGCGCUUGAGAGAACUCGGGUGAAGGAACUAGGCAAAAUGGCACCGUAACUUCGGGAGAAGGUGCGCCCUUUGGUGUGGUCACGUGCGUGACUGAGCAUCGAAGGGUCGCAGUAACCUGGCCGCUGCGACUGUUUAUCAAAAACACAGCACUCUGCAAACACGAAAGUGGACGUAUAGGGUGUGACGCCUGCCCGGUGCUGGAAGGUUAAUUGAUGGGGUCAGCCGCAAGGCGAAGCUCUUGAUCGAAGCCCCAGUAAACGGCGGCCGUAACGAUAACGGUCCUAAGGUAGCGAAAUUCCUUGUCGGGUAAGUUCCGACCUGCACGAAUGGCGUAACGACAGCGGCGCUGUCUCCACCCGAGACUCAGUGAAAUUGAAAUCGCUGUGAAGAUGCAGCGUUCCCGCGGCAAGACGGAAAGACCCCGUGAACCUUUACUAUAGCUUUACACUGAACGUUGAGUUCUUCUGUGUAGGAUAGGUGGGAGGCUAUGAAACCAGGACGCUAGUUCUGGUGGAGCCAUCCUUGAAAUACCACCCUGUAGUGCUUGACGUUCUAACCUAGGCCCGUAAUCCGGGUCAGGGACCGUGUAUGGUGGGUAGUUUGACUGGGGCGGUCUCCUCCCAAAGAGUAACGGAGGAGCACGAAGGUACGCUCAGCGCGGUCGGACAUCGCGCACUGUGUGCAAAGGCAUAAGCGUGCUUGACUGCGAGAUCGACGGAUCAAGCAGGUACGAAAGUAGGUCUUAGUGAUCCGGUGGUUCUGUAUGGAAGGGCCAUCGCUCAACGGAUAAAAGGUACUCCGCGGAUAACAGGCUGAUACCGCCCAAGAGUUCAUAUCGACGGCGGUGUUUGGCACCUCGAUGUCGGCUCAUCACAUCCUGGGGCUGUAGCCGGUCCCAAGGGUAUGGCUGUUCGCCAUUUAAAGUGGUACGCGAGCUGGGUUCAGAACGUCGUGAGACAGUUCGGUCCCUAUCUGUCGUGGGCGUUGGAGAUUUGAGGGGGGCUGCUCCUAGUACGAGAGGACCGGAGUGGACGUUCCGCUGGUGUUCGGGUUGUCAUGCCCAUGGCAUUGCCCGGUAGCUACGAACGGAAGUGAUAACCGCUGAAAGCAUCUAAGCGGGAAGCACGCCCCAAGAUGAGAUCUCCCGAGAGCUUGACUCUCCUAAAGGCACCAUCAAGACUAGGUGGUUGAUAGGUCAGGUGUGGAAGCGCAGCAAUGCGUUGAGCUAACUGAUACUAAUGAGCCGUGAGGCUUGACCA
RNAcentral lists this ribosomal RNA (1367 nucleotides) under metagenome. Its description in RNAcentral is "bacterial LSU rRNA". It matches the Rfam family "Bacterial large subunit ribosomal RNA", at positions 1579 to 2925 of the family's 2925-position model. The record is from RNAcentral.